This 510-nucleotide ribosomal RNA is filed under the name Salmonella enterica. RNAcentral's name for it is "partial 23S ribosomal RNA". It matches the Rfam family "Bacterial large subunit ribosomal RNA", at positions 2211 to 2720 of the family's 2925-position model. Lineage: Bacteria; Pseudomonadati; Pseudomonadota; Gammaproteobacteria; Enterobacterales; Enterobacteriaceae. The record is from RNAcentral.
UGUUUGAUGUUCUAACGUGGACCCGUGAUCCGGGUUGCGGACAGUGUCUGGUGGGUAGUUUGACUGGGGCGGUCUCCUCCUAAAGAGUAACGGAGGAGCACGAAGGUUGGCUAAUCCUGGUCGGACAUCAGGAGGUUAGUGCAAUGGCAUAAGCCAGCUUGACUGCGAGCGUGACGGCGCGAGCAGGUGCGAAAGCAGGUCAUAGUGAUCCGGUGGUUCUGAAUGGAAGGGCCAUCGCUCAACGGAUAAAAGGUACUCCGGGGAUAACAGGCUGAUACCGCCCAAGAGUUCAUAUCGACGGCGGUGUUUGGCACCUCGAUGUCGGCUCAUCACAUCCUGGGGCUGAAGUAGGUCCCAAGGGUAUGGCUGUUCGCCAUUUAAAGUGGUACGCGAGCUGGGUUUAGAACGUCGUGAGACAGUUCGGUCCCUAUCUGCCGUGGGCGCUGGAGAACUGAGGGGGGCUGCUCCUAGUACGAGAGGACCGGAGUGGACGCAUCACUGGUGUUCGGG